GCCUGGGUGGCUUAGUUGGUUAAGCGUCUGACUUCAGCUCAGGUCAUGAUCUCACAGUCCGUGAGUUCGAGCCCCACGUCAGGCU
RNAcentral lists this transfer RNA (85 nucleotides) under Felis catus (domestic cat). It matches the Rfam family "tRNA". From Rfam's summary of the family: Transfer RNA (tRNA) molecules are approximately 80 nucleotides in length. The record is from Rfam by way of RNAcentral. RNAcentral also lists the same sequence under 1 other name. Lineage: Eukaryota; Metazoa; Chordata; Mammalia; Carnivora; Felidae.